AACGUAGGAGACAAACGUUAUCCGGAGUUACUGGGCGUAAAGGGCGUGCAGGCGGCAGUCUAAGUCUGGCGUGAAAUUUCCCGGCUUAACCGGGGGAGGUCGUCGGAUACUGGGCAGCUCGAGGGCGGUAGAGGCGUGUGGAAUUCCGGGUGUAGUGGUGAAAUGCGUAGAGAUCCGGAGGAACACCAGUGGCGAAGGCGACACGCUGGGCCGCACCUGACGCUAAGACGCGACAGCAUGGGGAGCAAACAGG
Molecule: ribosomal RNA, 253 nt
Filed under: uncultured bacterium
Lineage: Bacteria
Also listed under: 1 other name
Description: partial 16S ribosomal RNA
Rfam family: Bacterial small subunit ribosomal RNA
Source: RNAcentral